This is a long non-coding RNA of Canis lupus familiaris (dog), 1535 nucleotides long. RefSeq lists it as uncharacterized. The record is from RefSeq and is a predicted model, not a curated record. The transcript has 2 exons. Lineage: Eukaryota; Metazoa; Chordata; Mammalia; Carnivora; Canidae.
CCCUGAGGAGAGUGGCCGGUAGCUCUCAGCAUGUGAAGGCCAGGCUGUGGUCGGCUGUGGGUCUCAGCGGAAGCCCUCCCUUGCCUGGUGCUGGAUGCACAGCAGGAUGGGGCAGGAGGGGGCUGGCCUGUGUCCCUGCUGCCCCGAGCUCAGAUAGCCCCUCUAGCUUCUCUGCUGCCUGGCCUGGAGGCUGCGCCCUCAGCCUGCAGCUCCAGACUCCAGACUCCUCCCACGCAGGGAAGGCUGGUCUGGCUCCUCUGGGCUGCCCGAGCCCUCAGACUGGAGACCUGGUGAGUCAGUGCAGCGCUGCUUCUCCUCCCCACGAGCUGUGGACACCAGGGGAAGCAUCGGGACCCUUGGCCUGGCUGGGUCAAGUGUGAUCAUCCAGGCCCUGAGCUAGGGCCCUCUCUGCCACUUCCCUCGGGCAAGCAAGGCUGGACGCCACCGAGAAGGUCAGCUGGGUCCCGCCAAAGCCACCACCCUGUCCAUGGACCCUCGGAGCUACAGGGCAGCAGAGAGGUGACCUGAGGAGGGGCCAGUCCCUGGGCGCCGCUGGCUCCACUGGGCUCUCCACAUCAGCCUGGACCGAGGAAUUAGAUUCUUCCUACAAAAGCCUUGGGGGAUUGGCUGGCACUUGAUGUCUUGGGAGAUAAAAGGGGCAAAUGCUGCUAAUUAUUUGUUUUCCUCAAAUACAGAGAAUGAGACCUACCCACACACAGAGUGGGCUGCAGAGCUUAUGUCCCCCCACCAAGUAGGUGCUUCUAUUUUGCUGUGGGGAGCAGGUUGGGCUCAUCAGAGGGUGGCCAAUCUCUGGCUCUGCUGACCUAAACCCUGGAGGGCUCUCAGGACCAGGGUCAGACCCCACCAACCCCACAACGGCCUGCGGGAGCAGUGGGCAGGGGCCAGGGGUCUGCUCACUGGUGUUACCUCCUUCUGAGCCCUCUGUCCACUCGAGAACUUUCCGUGUGUCUGAUGCAGAAUCCCACAUCCCUUGGGGUUCUGACCCAGGCCCUUGUAGCCAGGCCCACGGCAGCCCGUGCUGCCUCCCAGAGGCCCUGUCCGCUGCGCCAAGGCCCCUGAGGUCACCUUCUUGGAGACUAGCACUUCCAUUGCUGAUGGAAACUGGCCACUGACAAGUCCGGCAGGAGCCCAGACUGGCUUUUUGGGAGCAGAAGUUUGCGUGGGAGCUGGUGAGGGGGCAGCCGGGCAUACCAGCUCUGGAGCUGCAUGGAGAACCACUCCCUUCUGCUGCCCCUGAGCUCACAGGGCCAAGCUCUGGCCUCGUUCUGGGGGGUCCCACCCAGGGGACGGUGCUGUCGGCCACGAGUGAGCAGUGACUGCUGCUGCCUCUGUCCGAUGGAAUGGCAUGAAGGAAAACCACACAGGAAAAAAAGAGCAAUUGGAUCCCAAAACACCCUUGGAGAUGGACAAAGGGCUCCCAGCCCAUACGUACACCCUGGGCGAUGUGAAAUUCUCCAAAACAAAACCGGAGUGGGAUUGGGUUGAUUUCAAUACACUGUAAUCUGAAGAAUAAA